Molecule: non-coding RNA, 714 nt
Filed under: Pan troglodytes (chimpanzee)
Lineage: Eukaryota; Metazoa; Chordata; Mammalia; Primates; Hominidae
Source: RNAcentral
GGGAGCUUAGAUGUGGAAGCUCUUUGGAAACCAAGAAACACUCUGCAAAUGAAAAGGGUGGAAGAGUAAACUGUUCCUGUUUCUCCAUCUUGACAGGAAGCAGAAGUUCUCCUUAGCUGAUUUUUCUUCUUGCCUUAUACUGGGUUCUUUAACACCAGAACAAAAAUAAAUAAAUAAAAGAAUCUUCCAGAAAUUCAUGAAGAGACUUCAGGUCAGGAAAGCCUGAACUUUCUCAUCCAACACCUGUUCAAGUCGGAGGAUGCUGAUUAAUUCAUGAUGGAAAGGUAUCAAUUUCACAGCCCAGACCUCUACAUUCUUGAAAUGCUCUUCUCAUGGGAGACAUUAAAUAAGCUUUGAAUUAACUAAAAAUAUCCAACCCAGGCAGGAUAACACUGAUCAUCCUGAGGAUAUUGCCCUUGGAGUUAAUUUUUUGAGAGAAAUAAAACAAGAAACAUCAUAAGACACAAACCCCAAGCAACUGAUCUCACUGUCAAAAUCCAACCUGAGAACAAUGGAAUGGACCAUACAGUCUUUGUCACAACUCUGCCAUUGCAGCGUGAAAGCAUCCAUAGAUGGUACACAAAUGCAUGGAUGUAGUUGUACUCCAGUACAACUGCAAAAAGCAGACAGCUGGCUGGGUUUAGCCUAUGGGCCAUAGUUUACACAACUCAAUCUAGGUGAUUGCCUGGUAACUUUGUGAUUGUAAACAGGAAA